This 235-nucleotide ribosomal RNA is filed under the name uncultured bacterium. RNAcentral's name for it is "partial 16S ribosomal RNA". It matches the Rfam family "Bacterial small subunit ribosomal RNA", at positions 524 to 758 of the family's 1533-position model. The record is from RNAcentral.
UACGUAGGGGGCAAGCGUUGUCCGGAUUCAUUGGGCGUAAAGCGCGUGUAGGCGGCCAGGUAGGUCCGACGUGAAAACUGGAGGCUCAACCUCCAGCUGUCGUUGGAAACCAUCUGGCUAGAGUCCGGAAGAGGAGAGUGGAAUUCCUGGUGUAGCGGUGAAAUGCGCAGAUAUCAGGAAGAACACCCGUGGCGAAAGCGACUCUCUGGAACGGUACUGACGCUGAGACGCGAAA